This 253-nucleotide ribosomal RNA is filed under the name uncultured bacterium. Its description in RNAcentral is "partial 16S ribosomal RNA". It matches the Rfam family "Bacterial small subunit ribosomal RNA", at positions 524 to 776 of the family's 1533-position model. The record is from RNAcentral.
UACGUAGGGGGCUAGCGUUGUCCGGAAUCAUUGGGCGUAAAGCGCGCGUAGGCGGCCCGAUAAGUCUGCUGUGAAAGUCCAGGGCUCAACCCUGGAAUGCCGGUGGAUACUGUCGGGCUAGAGUUCGGAAGAGGCAAGUGGAAUUCCUGGUGUAGCGGUGGAAUGCGCAGAUAUCGUAAGGAAGACCAGUGGCGAAGGCGGGUCUCUGGACAGUUCCUGACGCUGAGGCACGAAGGCCAGGGGAGCAAACGGG